This 460-nucleotide ribosomal RNA is filed under the name uncultured bacterium. RNAcentral describes it as "partial 16S ribosomal RNA". It matches the Rfam family "Bacterial small subunit ribosomal RNA", at positions 338 to 795 of the family's 1533-position model. The record is from RNAcentral.
CCUACGGGCGGCAGCAGUGAGGAAUAUUGGUCAAUGGACGAGAGUCUGAACCAGCCAAGUAGCGUGAAGGAUGACUUCCCUAUGGGUUGUAAACUUCUUUUAUAUGGGAAUAAAACGUUCCACGUGUGGGAUUUUGUAUGUACCAUAUGAAUAAGGAUCGGCUAACUCCGUGCCAGCAGCCGCGGUAAUACGGAGGAUCCGAGCGUUAUCCGGAUUUAUUGGGUUUAAAGGGAGCGUAGGUGGAUUGUUAAGUCAGUUGUGAAAGUUUGCGGCUCAACCGUAAAAUUGCAGUUGAAACUGGCAGUCUUGAGUACAGUAGAGGUGGGCGGAAUUCGUGGUGUAGCGGUGAAAUGCUUAGAUAUCACGAAGAACUCCGAUUGCGAAGGCAGUUCACUGGACUGCAACUGACACUGAGGCUCGAAAGUGUGGGUAUCAAACAGGAUUAGAUACCCUAGUAGUC